AACGCUAGCUACAGGCUUAACACAUGCAAGUCGAGGGGCAGCACAGUGUAGCAAUACAUGGGUGGCGACCGGCGCACGGGUGCGUAACGCGUAUCCAACCUUCCCGUUACUCUUGGAUAGCCUUCCGAAAGGGAGAUUAAUACAAGAUGGUAUUCAAAUUCCGCAUGUUAUUUGAAUUAAAGAUUUAUCGGUAACGGAUGGGGAUGCGUGACAUUAGAUAGUAGGCGGGGUAACGGCCCACCUAGUCUACGAUGUCUAGGGGUUCUGAGAGGAAGGUCCCCCACACUGGAACUGAGACACGGUCCAGACUCCUACGGGAGGCAGCAGUGAGGAAUAUUGGUCAAUGGUCGGAAGACUGAACCAGCCAAGUAGCGUGAAGGAUGAAGGUUCUAUGGAUUGUAAACUUCUUUUAUACGGGAAUAAAACCUCCCACGUGUGGGAGCUUGUAUGUACCGUAUGAAUAAGCAUCGGCUAACUCCGUGCCAGCAGCCGCGGUAAUACGGAGGAUGCGAGCGUUAUCCGGAUUUAUUGGGUUUAAAGGGAGCGUAGACGGGAGAUUAAGUCAGUUGUGAAAGGCUGCGGCUCAACCGCAGCACUGCAGUUGAUACUGGUUUCCUUGAGUGCGGUUGAGGUGUAUGGAAUUCGUGGUGUAGCGGUGAAAUGCUCAGAUAUCACGAAGAACUCCGAUUG
This 690-nucleotide ribosomal RNA is filed under the name uncultured bacterium. Its description in RNAcentral is "bacterial SSU rRNA". It matches the Rfam family "Bacterial small subunit ribosomal RNA", at positions 32 to 715 of the family's 1533-position model. The record is from RNAcentral.